RNAcentral lists this ribosomal RNA (253 nucleotides) under uncultured bacterium. Its description in RNAcentral is "partial 16S ribosomal RNA". It matches the Rfam family "Bacterial small subunit ribosomal RNA", at positions 524 to 776 of the family's 1533-position model. The record is from RNAcentral.
UACAGAGGAGGCAAGCGUUGUCCGGAUUGACUGGGCGUAAAGCGCACGCAGGCGGCUGCGCGCGUGGGGUGUGAAAUCUGGCCGCUUAACGGCCAGGCGCCAUCCCAUACGGCGCGUCUGGAGUGAUGCAGAGGUCGGUGGAAUUGCCGGUGUAGUGGUGAAAUGCGUAGAGAUCGGCAGGAACACCCAUGGGGAAACCAGCCGACUGGGCAUCUACUGACGCUGAGGUGCGAGAGCGUGGGGAGCGAACCGG